UUAUAGACCGACAUGUGAACAUGGCUGUUUUAAGUGGGUACGCAGGACUAUAGUCCGGGGACAACGGUGUAGGAAUUAACUAAAUCUUUUCUCCCAGAUAUCUUCGUCCUCAGAGAGUUGAAAAAAGUAAAGUUCUGCAUAUCUGCUCUUGGUCUUCUCCUACUGCUCGGUGCUUUAAUGGCACUCUGUGCUGUAGGGAUCUUGUAUCACAAUAAAGUUGUCUCCUUUGAGAUUUUGCAUGAGCAGAAUGAGAAUACAAAGCCAAGGGGUGUUUUGUGACAGAAAAUAAAAAGGAACUUCAAAACUCACGAGCAUGCGUAGAGACACACACACACACACACACACACACACACACACACACACACACACUUCAGCGCUUCUCUCUCUCUCUUUUCUUCACACACACACACACACACACACACACACACACAUUUAUCAUCCAUACAGUGUGUCCGCUUUUCCACAGUGGGUUUUGACCAUUCAGCCCUUACGCUGUUCAGCGGUGACCCAGACCUGGGCCCUGAGUUGAGCCUCUCACUCUCUUCUCCAGCAGCUGUAUCACAGGUCUCUAUAUUCCUUUUACUUGUUCAACACACACACAGUUCAGUUCACAAACACAAUAACCACAAUUUAACCACACUCCUUAGUUAGUUACUCACAUCAGCCAGUUCUCUUCUACAAUGUCUAAUUUCUAUUACUUUUCUCACCCACUAUGGUUCCCUUAGAAUUUUGUAAUUUUUUUUUUAAAUGUUCAAGCAUUCAUCCAGGUUCUUUUGGAGACCAAUUUCGUCCUCCCUCAGUCUCCGGGGCUCCCCUCUCCUGGGAGCAGAUUAACUAAAGCAAAACUUCGGUCAAACAGGUGUCUGCUUUACCUUUGUCCUAUAUGGCCUGUCUGCUGCCCACAGAGCGGUGAAGUCACAAGAAAGGGGAUCAGAUUUCUGGCCUAAAUCAGACCCAUCUGGGGUGGCAAAUGUUGGCCUGAAAAAUUAUUAACAUUAGCUACUAUUAUUUAAAGUCUAUACUUACAUCAGCUAGACCAAUUUGUGGAUGAAGAAAUACACAAGAACACAGCGGGUGAGAGAAGCAAGGGUCCAAGUUUAUUACCAACCACCACAAGAUCCCAACAGUGACUACGUUUACAUGGACAGCAGUAAUCUAAUUAUUGACCUUACUCUGAGUAAGAUAAUAAUGUGAUUAAGGUGUUUACAUGAGUCGCUUUUAGAAUACUCCUGUCAUGUACCCGUUUUACAUGUUAUAGAACAUAAUUAGAUUAACGGCACAUGUCAUUACGUCACCGUGCCACGCCGUCCGACGUCCCUCCAGAAUUUCACGUAUCAACAUACAGUUCAUCUUCGUUAUGGGACCGUAUACAUUUUUCGGUGUUUUUAUUAAAAAAUUUUUACGAACUCUUUAAGUGCGGUUAAUUAUUUGUCAUGCUGUACGUGCUAAUAGAUGACUGCUUGAAGCCGUGGGCUGCGUCCCAAACCGCG
Ictalurus furcatus (blue catfish) is the source of this 1490-nucleotide long non-coding RNA. RefSeq lists it as uncharacterized. The transcript has 3 exons. The record is from RefSeq and is a predicted model, not a curated record. NCBI's taxonomy places the organism in Eukaryota, Metazoa, Chordata, Actinopteri, Siluriformes, Ictaluridae.